This 301-nucleotide ribosomal RNA is filed under the name uncultured bacterium. RNAcentral's name for it is "partial 16S ribosomal RNA". It matches the Rfam family "Bacterial small subunit ribosomal RNA", at positions 512 to 810 of the family's 1533-position model. The record is from RNAcentral.
CAGCCGCGGGAAUACGUAGGGUGCGAGCGUUAAUCGGAAUUACUGGGCGUAAAGCGUGCGCAGGCGGUUGUGUAAGACAGGUGUGAAAUCCCCGGGCUUAACCUGGGAACUGCGCUUGUGACUGCACAGCUAGAGUAUGGCAGAGGGGGGUGGAAUUCCACGUGUAGCAGUGAAAUGCGUAGAGAUGUGGAGGAACACCGAUGGCGAAGGCAGCCCCCUGGGCCAAUACUGACGCUCAUGCACGAAAGCGUGGGGAGCAAACAGGAUUAGAUACCCCUGUAGUCCCUGUCUCUUAUACACA